RNAcentral lists this ribosomal RNA (539 nucleotides) under uncultured bacterium. RNAcentral describes it as "partial 16S ribosomal RNA". It matches the Rfam family "Bacterial small subunit ribosomal RNA", at positions 28 to 523 of the family's 1533-position model. The record is from RNAcentral.
GAUGAACGCUGGCGGUGUGCCUAAUACAUGCAAGUCGUACGCAUUCUCGUUUCUGAUUGACGGUGCUUGCACCUAAUUGACGAGACAUUGGAUGAGUGGCGGACGGGUGAGUAACACGUGGGUAACCUGCCCAGAAGUGGGGGAUAACAUUUGGAAACAGAUGCCAAUACCGCAUAAAAGUCAAAACCACAUGGUUUUGAUUUAAAAGAUGGCCUUUGUGCUAUCACUUCUGGAUGGACCCGCGGCGUAUUAGCUAGUUGGUAAGGUAACGGCUUACCAAGGCAAUGAUACGUAGCCGAACUGAGAGGUUGAUCGGCCACAAUGGGACUGAGACACGGCCCAUACUCCUACGGGAGGCAGCAGUAGGGAAUCUUCUACAAUGGGCGCAAGCCUGAUGGAGCAACACCGCGUGAGUGAAGAAGGGUUUCGGCUCGUAAAACUCUGUUGUUAAAGAAGAACGUAUCUAAGAGUAACUGCUUAGGUAGUGACGGUAUUUAACCAGAAAGCCACGGCUAACUACGUGCCAGCCGCCGCAGUAA